CUCGUAUAGAAAAAUCUGAAAAAAAUUAUUCCAAGAUAUAAUUGAGAUCCUCCACCUCCGAGUAUGACUAUGGAGGAGAUUGAUGGAGAUCCUUUCAGUAUCAAAAAAAUAAUCAUAAAGAAAAAAAUUUGAAGAGCAAAAGUCAGAGGGAAAAAAAGAAGAAAUUUAGAUAGGAUGUAUAAAAUCAGAUCUCAAGAUAGUCCUUUUAUAACUAUCCA
RNAcentral lists this long non-coding RNA (218 nucleotides) under Elaeis guineensis (African oil palm). Its description in RNAcentral is "long non-coding RNA (EGUI_LNC029939)". Lineage: Eukaryota; Viridiplantae; Streptophyta; Magnoliopsida; Arecales; Arecaceae. The record is from RNAcentral.